AAGGUGGGGAUGACGUCAAGUCCUCAUGGCCCUUAGUGUCCAGGGCUACACACGUGCUACAAUGGGCGGUACAAGGGUAGCGAUGCCGCGAGGCGAAGCCAAUACCCAAAAACGCCGUCCUCAGUUCGGAUUGGAGUCUGCAACUCGACUCCAUGAAGCCGGAAUCGCUGGUAAUCGCGGAUCAGCAUGCCGCGGUGAAUACGUUCCCGGGCCUU
This 215-nucleotide ribosomal RNA is filed under the name uncultured Desulfobacterium sp. Its description in RNAcentral is "partial 16S ribosomal RNA". It matches the Rfam family "Bacterial small subunit ribosomal RNA", at positions 1170 to 1382 of the family's 1533-position model. Lineage: Bacteria; Pseudomonadati; Thermodesulfobacteriota; Desulfobacteria; Desulfobacterales; Desulfobacteriaceae. The record is from RNAcentral.